UCCGUAGGUGAACCUGCGGAAGGAUCAUUAUCGUAGGGCUUCGGCCCUGUCGAGAUAGAACCCUUGCCUUUUUGAGUACCUUUUCGUUUCCUCGGCAGGCCCGCCUGCCAAUGGGGACCCCAUAAACACUUUGCAGUACCUGUAAUUGUCUGAAAAAACAAACAAAAAAAUUAAAACUUUCAACAACGGAUCUCUUGGUUCUGGCAUCGAUGAAGAACGCAGCGAAAUGCGAUAAGUAGUGUGAAUUGCAGAAUUCAGUGAAUCAUCGAAUCUUUGAACGCACAUUGCGCCCAUUGGUAUUCCUUUGGGCAUGCCUGUUCGAGCGUCAUUUAAACCUUCAAGCUCAGCUUGGUGUUGGGUGACUGUCGGCGGCCCCUCGGGGCGGCCGACUCGCCUCAAAAAUAUUGGCGGCCGGUACUUUGGCUUCGAGCGCAGCAGAAACGCGAACUCGGGGUUGCUGUACUGGCUCCCAGAAGCCAUCUUCACAUUUUUGACCUCGGAUCAGGUAGGGAUACCCGCUGAACUUAAGCAUAUCAAUAAGCGGAGGA
RNAcentral lists this ribosomal RNA (548 nucleotides) under uncultured Pleosporales. Its description in RNAcentral is "eukaryotic LSU rRNA". The stretch from base 175 to 328 matches the Rfam family "5.8S ribosomal RNA". Lineage: Eukaryota; Fungi; Ascomycota; Dothideomycetes; Pleosporales. The record is from RNAcentral.